GAUGAAGAACGUAGCGAAAUGCGAUAAGUAAUGCGAAUUGCAGAAUCCGUGAGUCAUCGAAUCUUUGAACGCACAUUGCGCCCUUUGGUAUUCCGAAGGGCAUGCCUGUUCGAGCGUCAUUAUCACCACUCAAGCCCGGCUUGCUGUUGGUGGCAGCGCAGCCGGUCAACCGGCUACGCUCCACCCAAAGAUAAUGACGGCGUCUGCGAGGACUCCUGUACAUUGAGCUUUCGGGCACGUACAUGGCUAGAAGUCCAGGCGCCGGUCGACGUCCUCCGGGACACAUUUUACCAAGGUUGACCUCGGAUCAGGUAGGGAUACCCGCUGAACUUAAGCAUAUCAAUAAGCGGAGGA
Molecule: unclassified non-coding RNA, 354 nt
Filed under: soil metagenome
Description: partial contains 5.8S ribosomal RNA, internal transcribed spacer 2, and large subunit ribosomal RNA
Rfam family: 5.8S ribosomal RNA (bases 1-119)
Source: RNAcentral